AGCCAUAGUAGCUGCCCAGGAUGCGCUUGUACUCCUCGUGUGCGCUGAACUGGAUGGCGGCGUAGGGCACCACGCGCACCAUGGUGGCCGAAUUCCCGCGCCACAAGCUGAGAAAGCCCUCGUUGAGGUUCUCUUGGGGACUGCAAAGCCAACCGGACUGCAAAGCGAACCGGACUGCAAAGCGAACCAGACUGCAAAGCGAACCAGGCUGCAAAGCAGCUCGGAGCCCUGCCCAAGGGCAUGUCUGUUGGUGUUUGGCAUUCUAGCUUGUACAGUUCAUCUUUUUCUUUAUUAAGAAGGUAGCACCUGCUCUCUGUUUAACGAUAAAUCAAACAUGAAAA
Long non-coding RNA from Pongo pygmaeus (Bornean orangutan), 341 nucleotides. RefSeq lists it as uncharacterized. The record is from RefSeq and is a predicted model, not a curated record. The transcript has 2 exons. NCBI's taxonomy places the organism in Eukaryota, Metazoa, Chordata, Mammalia, Primates, Hominidae.